CUCGCGCUGUUAGCGGCCCUGAUUGGCCCGCUGAGCUGGCGGGAGGUGCCCGCGGCCGUGUGACGCCAGCGCGUACGUGGCGCAGAGCGUGCGCGGGAAGUUUAGGCCGCCGUUGCAGAGCGGCAGGAGGGGAGGGGGCGACGGCCCGAGAGGAUGGCAGGGCUGGCGGGGACUACGCUUCCCAGCGUGCAUUGCGGCCGCGCCGCACGCGGGGCUAUGGGCGGUGCCCGCCGGGACCUGUAGUUUAGGGGCUCGGCGGGGCCUCGCCGCGCGUUGCCCGCCGGGACGUGGAGCCUCGUUGCGGCGCCGGGCUGGGGCGUGGGGCAGUGGCGCGCGGCGCGCCUGCCCUCGGGAAGGAGGCGGCUGGAACGCGGCUGUAAAUAAACUUCUCCACCAGCCUGGGUGCUCUCCGCAUCACAAGGGUUCCCCAGCACUCUUGAGUGCCUGCAUGGGGCACCGGGUGGGGGCUCUGUACUGUGGCCAGUGUAAACCCACGACAUAGAGGCUGCAGCCGCAGUUCCAGGCCUUCCUGGGUGUGUGCAACAGCGCCCGUCGUAGCUGUGCACGCUGUGAAAAAUGGCUGAUGGAAGCCGAAAGUGAUGGUGUGAAAAUUAGUUUUCUUGGUAAAUAAAGGCAGGCUUGCAUCGGUUGUGGUUUGCCGAAAGCAGCUUGGAAGUGUGAGUGCUUUCAGAGGUCUUGGAAGCCAACGGAUGCCUUUUGGAGAGUAUUUUUUUUUGUGUACCUCAUGAUAGUUCAUGUCAAUUUCAUUACUUUUCUGGGCCUAACCCAGGGUCUGUGUAUGUGAGUAGAUGAUACACAGCAGUAGGAGAACUGAGGAAUUAUUUCCAUGUGUUACAUGUUCCUUAAGUUUCAUGUUAAAAUACAAGAAUGUUAAAUAUUCUUAAUCCUUCUCAGUUACAUGUGUGUACAGCAAAACUCCUGAGGAAAUACUUUUUGAUCCCUUUAUGUAUGUUAAAAAAAAAAAUAUUUAAAGUAGGUUUUUACUACACACAGCUUGCAGGCAGCCUUGCACAGCAGCUGAUGGAAAGCGUGUGCUCAGUUGGCAGAGAGAAAUUGUGUGUCACCACCAUGGCCUGUCACCCAGCCACAGCGUACAACCAGCUAUUGUGGAAGAUACUCAUGCUGUUAAUUGUCUGGCAGCUGUGUUGCAAGAGGGAGCUUCAUAUGUGCUGGUCGCAUUCCCCAGAGCAGCUUGGUGUAAGAUGAUGACUGUUGCCAGCCUACCAUUACUUGAACAACGAACGUAGUCCACUGCCUGUCAAGAUGUGUCUCUGUUGGCUGCUACAAACUGACUCCUAUUUUGAUCUUUUUCAUACUCUGUGGACGUUUGACUGAAGGGCUGUCUUACUCUCUAACUUGCAUGCUGGAGCUGAACGGCCCUUAAUAUACGAUGUAUUCUUUUCUUUUGAAUUUCCUAUUUAAGAAAUAAAUUAAUAGUAAUGACUCAAUACAUGCUGUCACCCGCAUUCUCACAGCAGAGGAAUCUAAAAACAUCCCCUGACUGCCAUGUGCUCUGCAGGAGAGACUUCUCCAGACAUCCUUAUGUGCAGUUCUUAGACCUGACAUGUAAUGCCUGUACCAUUCAGGUCCUCCUGAGCAGGAACACACACUUGCCAGUCUUUAUUAGGAGCUCUUCUGGGACUGAGCAGCUCUGCGUUCGAUCAGCUCAAAAGUUCUAUGAUUGUUAUUUUUUUUCUAGCGAACUGAAGUAUAUUUAACACAUAAGAAGCGGUUACUAUCCACAAAAUCUUGUCAAGAGGAAUACUAAGUUCAAGUACUGAUUAGAGCCUGUCUGUGUAGUUUCCCCUUGUUAUUUUUGUGAAGAGAACAAGGGCAUAGCAUGGUAACAGACUGGAAAACUGUAAGAUUGCUUUUGCUGUGAGCACCAACAGAACUGCCACUUCUCCCUUCAAAAUCUUUGAGUACUUUGAAUUUAAACCUUCUAAAAGAUGGAAGUCAAGGUCCAACCCCUAGAACAUAAGAAUCUGCUAAUGUGUGAGAAAGCUACAUACCUCCUUGUCCUCAUUAGAGUUUUACCCAAACUUGGUUAACUCACCCUGGAUCAUUUGUGCCACAACCAUUUCCACUUUACCCCACAGGCAGGGCUGCUGAAGGGGCUGGGGUCUCCAGGGUCUUUCUGUUUUCUGGCUGUCCUGCACACAUGUGGUGGUACCACAGAAGAGACAAUGACCAGUCCCUUCAGCUCUGCACCGAAGGGCUUUGUUAAUGUCAACAACCAUUUGAACAGGAACAAGAAUUAAUUUUAAUUGCCAAUAUUCUUACUGUAAACUAUUGAACCUUGGGGCCUAGUGUCUUUCAACGCCAUUUUGCUCUUUGAUAUAAUUCAUUAACUACCUGUUUGAGUGCUAAAAUUAGUUAACACAGAGUCCUAAGUGUGAGCGUUGUUUAAAUACAUAUUACUAGGCUAUUCAUAUCAUUCUAGGAUUAGUAGCCAUGUAUGGUAAUAGCAGAGUGUAGUCUAAGUUUAGAUGUAUGAGACAGCAUAUGUCUGAACUUGUCAGAGCCACUAUUAGCAUUUUUAAAUCCCCUGGGUAUGUACAAUUUCUCUUCUCUUCAUAAUGAAUAUGUAUAAAAUUGAGUAGGACUGCCAAGUAUUGGUGGCUCAUUUCUGGAUUUAUGUAUAUGAAUGGCAAAUACAAAACAAAGUAUCAAAAGAAGCAAGAAUACCAGCCAAGAAUCUCAUAUAUCUCAUGUGCAUUAUUCAGGCAGGAAGAGGCUCUUAAAAGAAAACAUCUGCAAUUAGUUAUAAUACUUUUGAAAUCAUUACAUGUCAGUAAAAAAACCACAACAUAUAUUGAAAAGAAUAUGUUUAAAUUUCAAAACAAUCUUAAGAAAUGCCACUGUUGUUUCGUUAUCUCUCGGGGGGUUAAUGAUGCCAGUAACUCUCACUGAGAGAACUGGCAUUUUUUAAUAACUUCUAUCACAAAAGUCAACCCACGCUGCUACAGUCUGAUAUGAAGGAAUAUCAUUUCCAAAACAAAAAUAGUUCUCCAAAACUUCUGAAUUUUUUCAUGCAUUGAAAUGUUGAGUUGUAUUACUUACAUUAGAAAUGACAUCUGCCUGUCACAGUCAAGGUGACCUAUAUGAUUUAUAAUUUUUUUAUCACUUUUGUGGUACUGCUAGUUUAAGGGUAUAAUUUUGUCUCUGUAUUCAGCUAUAAUGGUACCAGAUCAGGGCUUUGUUCUGUUAUCUUCUUGUAGAGGCCAAAAUUAGUAAUUUUUAUAAGAUUUUUGCAUUACUAGCCUCUGCUUCAGAGAGCCUAGAACAAAUACAUUGUAGAAGCAAUGUUGUUGGGAAGGAUGAGUUACAGAGAAAGAAUUGUGUGCUCACGUAUCGCAAGGUAAAGAUGAUUUUGUCUCUCAACGAGUUGUAAGAAUGUCUUCCAAGUCCAUUCCUACUGUGUUUCUGGAGGCAGUGCUUUCUUUAGCAAUAGAAUGAAGUAAGCUUGUUUCUUUGUUUUCUUGUACCUGAUGUUGUCAUUUAAACCAGCACGUGCUCCGUGAAAAAGCUGAUCUGAUGACAUUUUGCAGUCACUUUGUCCAGCUGUGAAUAGUGGCAGUGUCUGCAGCUGCAUGGGCAUGGGUGGAAGGAAGAUGCAGUUUUGCAGCCUUAUCCUCCAUCAGGAGGUCAUCAGUGUGCUUGCUGCCCAGACAGAACCACUGUGAGAGCGGGAACUCAACUCUCCCUCAAAACCUGUGUUGCCAAGCGGCAGAGAAACAGAUGAAGCAGCACCUACUGUAAUCAGCCACCACUGUGCGUGCCCAGUUUGUUGUCCCUUUGAGAUACACGAUGUUAUCCCUUCCACAUUUGCCAUUGUGAAUAAACCACAGAGGCUCAUUGCUCUCA
Long non-coding RNA from Falco peregrinus (peregrine falcon), 3888 nucleotides. RefSeq lists it as uncharacterized. The transcript is spliced from 2 exons. NCBI's taxonomy places the organism in Eukaryota, Metazoa, Chordata, Aves, Falconiformes, Falconidae. The record is from RefSeq and is a predicted model, not a curated record.